UUCAUAGUUUUCUUGGAGGCUUUGGAUGUAGGAGUUUUGAUUUUACUGUCUUCCGAGUAUGUUCUGAUCUUCCUUGUCACCAUAGUAACUUUCUGUGGUCAGAAAUUUUUUUUUUCAUUAUUUGAUCAUUUUUCUAUCCUAUUUCUUGACUUUUGACUCUUUGCUAAAGUAGGGCUUUGAUUUCAGGUUGGAAAACAUACUGUCCAAGUUUCAUGGGUUUUGUGCAACUAUUUGUAGAAAUACUUUUAGGUACAUGUAAAUUUUCAGUUCUUCCAAGGAGGUAUAAUCUAAGAAGAGGUGUAUUUACUCUCUCCUGUGUUUACUACAACCAAAAGCAAUCUUUUCUGCAUUGGAUCUAUGGCCAGGGGCCUUACUCUACUAGGACCAUAUGCACUGAUAUGCUAUUACUUCUCACCUUGGAGGUGUCAUCCAUAACUGUGUCUCAGAUCUGAGUAUGAGCAAAAGAAUUAACCCCCUGCUAAAAAAGAGACUCCUGUAUUCUCCUUCUGACCAGUUGUUUGACCCCCUUACUUGCUGUGUAAGGGCUGAGAGCGUUGGAAUUAGCCAUGUCUGCUGCUGAUUCAGUGGCCCCCAAAUCUUGUUCCUGGUUUGCUAAGGCUUGGUCUGGUUUGGCACAGUCUACACUAUAUGUGCCGUGCCUUUCCUGCCAACUUUCUAAAUUGUUUUUGAAUGGAAAAUUAUUUCACCCUGUCUUUUUGUGCCACUCCCGAAUUUGUUUUAGGGCAUUACUUACAGAUUUUCUGAAGAGUUUGGAUGAGAGCUCAGGCAAGUCCCUGAUUGCUCUGCCAUCUUGACUCUUGGACAAUUAAAGAACUCAUUUUUACGUUAAAAUAUUAAUAAAAUAAACAUGAAAUACAUGAACAUUUAGUAAUAGAUUACUAUAUCAAGAUACAGAUUAUAUAUAUUAUUAUUUACGAAAGUUAAAUAUUUGCACAAUUUGGUCACCAUCAUAUCAGAUGGCAAAGAGUGAAAUAGGCCUAGAAACUUGUUAGAAAAAUUCCUUUGUCCAGUUCAGAAGGAAAUCAGAUCUUUGUAACUCCAUCAUGUCCUGGCAGAAUUCAAAUUCUUUGUGAAUUCAUUUGAAUUUAGACUGCUACUAGAAGCUUAAAGUCUUAUCCAAAGUGAGAUUGGAUUUCUAUUCCUUUGAUCUGAAAUUCUGAAAGUUCCUGACUAGGUUUUGGACUUAAGUAACACAAAUCUAAGUUUGCCUUCUAGUUAAGAACUCUGACCCCGUUAUCAGAUAGCUGGGAGGUUCUACACGGUCCCAGCAGCCUUGAUUUGAGGUCCCUGCCCUGAUUUUACCACAAUAGGCUUCAGAAUAGGUUGGGGGCAAGAAUUAAGACUAGUCGGCUUCAGGAGUCAGAAUCCCACAGCUCAGCUAUUUGCUUUUUAUUCCUAUUUCUUGUUCAUGAUAGAAAUUAACUACUGUUUCUUGUGCUAAUCUACCCUGAACCACUAACUGCAGGUCUUCUUCCCAGUCUGUAUUGCAUUUAUGACUCAGCUCUGAUUUAGGUGACACAGCUGCCACUUAGCAUCUGUGAUUACUUCCUAGAUAACGAGGCUCCUACAGACUGGACCUGGAAUCCAGGAAAUUUUGCUUUAUUACAUAGUUUCAGUCCCCAUUUAAGCUGGACAGCUCACUAUUGUUAAUGCUUCAAAGGCACUGAUGAGAUUCUGAUGGGAUAUUUAUUGUGAUAGACUAAUAUUUGUUUAGGCCAUGGAGGAUACCUGAAAUGCAUUGGUUUGCUUUUGGCUGUAGGAUCCUGCUUUGAAGUUUCCCCAUGACUCUUAGAAUCAUAAGUUGAGAGGGAUCUCACGAGUCACCGACUGAGGGAAAUGAGUGUCUCUCAUAUUAAUAACAAUUCUUAAAUUGGGGAGAGCCCAACUUUUUCUCCCAAUCCUAUUUUCUUGUAUAAUCUCUCAAGAGUGGGGCUGAUAGAAAAUAAGAUUAACAUUCUCCUCAUUCUGAGUAUUGGUAUUUCACCCAACUAGCUCAGGCUUAGGUGGGGAUAUGGAUUUUGUCUAGAUUGCCCAAGGGCAGGGGUAGUCUGAGUACAAAGAUAGUCUUGAAGGAGGUUUUUUCCUUUAAGGAUUUUCAGAGUUUUGGGGUUCCCUCUUCAGUCUGACCAAGAGUUACAUGACUGCACUCUCAGCCUCUCACCGUAAUGAAUUCUCUUCUCUUUGAAAAGUCCACCUCUCAUUAACUGUUAAUCAAUCAGAAUUGAUUGCCACACUCAGGAAUACUCUUCUUCCAAAAGGCAUAUAAGUAGCGAACCUGCUCUAGUGAUUGCCUUUAGUAUUGAUGAGCUCCAUUGACGAUUUAUUUAAAAUGCUGGCAUUAUAUUUGAUUCAUUUACCCAGAAAUGGUCUCUCAGACUUUUAAAAUCCCAUAAUUUUCUGAUUCCAUGAAGGAAUCAGAACUUUGUAUUCCUAGAUUCUUGACCAAAAAACUCAUGUUUGGACUACAUGAAAUGUUUUUCCACUUUGGGAGUUCUCUGUUGGGAAUCUGGCUAUGAUCUGACUCCUUUUUACCUUUUACUUUUUAUCUGUCUCUCUUUUUAAUUAUGUACUGUUUGAAUUUUCAAUCUCAUUAGGACAUACUCCUAUAGAACUGGCUGUGGGGAAAGAUUGUAUAUGCAAAUGAGACCACCUGAGAAAGUUUUUAAAAGAACUUAUUUUUGUUUGUGUGGUAAGGGUCACUGCCCAUCUCCCAUAUUCUAAUAGGUGAAGCAUAGCAAGGUAGAAAGGAAGGCAUAUAUGAUUUAAUUGGAAAACUGUUUUUUAGAUAAUAGAAAAGAUAUCUCUUUUUAAGGAGGCUGGCAAGCCUUUUGUAAAUUGUUAAAUGGGCUUGAGAACCAAAAUGGAGGACACGGAUGUGUGGGAUGGUGUGUUAGACUGCUCCUCACCCAAAUUGACUACUCUGGAGGCAUCUCCAGAUAUAAACAGGAAGCAUUUAUUCAUUCUUGCAAGGAGAGGCUCAAGCACCCCAGUUGAGCAGUCCAGCAUGGUGUGUGGAAAUGAUGCCGGGUCAUUACGUUAAAACGUACAACUGGUAAUUACCGUAUGUGAAACAAAGUGGAUGGGUGAAGCAACAUUGGAAGAACUCCAUAGUAGACUAAGGAAGAAACAAUGCAAAAAGGGAUAUUGAAAAUUUGCCCUCGAUUGGACAGAUGGAGCCCUUAGAAAACAAGAACUGCUUGCUGGUCCAGACAACACUUUUGGAGUUUGUAAUUCCAGGAGAAAUGGUACUUAUUAAGUCCUUGAAGGAACAGAGUGGGAAGGACCUUAUCAAAUGUACUGAUGAUCGACACUGUGAUCAGGGAGGCUGAGAAGAGAUGUUCUCAUUGCACCAUUGUUAAAGGGCCUGUGGAAGAAUCUCAAGAAUGGAUUGUUAUGGACAAUUUAUAACCUCUAAAAUUGACUUUGCUCCAAGGCAAUUAGGAAUGUUUUGGUAGGAGGGGUACUUAAUCAUGUAUGAAGGAAUUUUAACAACAUUGGUGUUGCAUUUAUUAUUUAUAUGUCCAGAAAAAUUUAUAGGGACUCCUUGAUUGGAGGAAGUUGAAUUAACACUUUUUAGGAUGAAAAAAUUAUUAAUGUUGAUUUUGAUAGGGUUUUUUUUUUAAUGCAAAAUUAGGACAGACCCACCCAUUUCUAUAUUCUCUCCCUCUUAAUACAUUAGGGCAGCUGGCAGAGAAAAUGACUGGUGCCAGCCACUGAAUUAUGGCCAUAGUACCCUCCAGUCUGACCUGAAUUUUCAGUAACUAGUCAGAGGUAAGAGAUGGUACUGGAUUUUGGAUUGAGUUUGAAAGGCAUAGUUGGUCCCUUGCUAAACAAACACAGGAUAUAUCAAAAAGCAUAUCUCACAAAAAUCCUAAGGAUAGUUGGGCUUGAAUAGUCAGGAACAUCAAGAUCAGCCCCUUCUCUGAUUGAAGCCUCUGUUGAUUCCCUUUAUUUUGAAAGUUACUAUGUUUCUUGAAACCAUCUUGCCAGUCCUGGGGGAAAAAAAAUUAGUUUUGGUUUUAUACCAACAAGGAAUGGGUUUAUUGAUAAUCUACAAAUUUGUUACAUAUAAAUGAUUUCUAAUGUUUAUCUCUUACACCAGAAUGAAUUUUAACUCAGGAAGGAAAAAAAAGGGGAGAAAAGGGUCAAAGAUGUUAAAUGAAAUCUCUUAUGUAUGUGAAGUUUAGUAAACUUUGUUUAAUUGGCUAUAUUAAGUCAACUUGAAGCUGUUCUCAUUAUUUAAAGGAUUCUGAUAAUAUUGUCUUUGUCCCUUUGAACAUGGCUAAUAAUUGAACAUAUUUUUUGCUAUAGACAAUAUGCAAUUUUAGAAUUUUUAUUUUUCUAAAAAUUGAAUGGUUAUUGGUUAUUGAGCAUCUUAAAGCAAAAUGAUUUGUGUAAUGUUGAAUUUAAAACAUCUACUUAGAUAUGAAAAUAAAUCUCUUAUUGUUAUCAAUGUAAAAUUAUAUUUAAUAAUUAAUUUAGGAUAUGUAAUUCUUGAGAGCUAAAACCACCUGAAGCUUUGAUUAAUGAAACUUGCUGUUAAGAUGAAAUCUCUUGGGACUGUAACUGAUAUUAUUUGAAGGUUUGAAUUCAGGUAUGAAUGUAUAAUCCAUCAUCCAAGAGAAAUAAUGCCACAGCUAACUCGGAGGAAUGUGAUCCUGAACUGUUAGAGGUGGAGGUUUGUAUCUGGAAAAAAGUUGGGAGGACAAUCUUGAUCUCUGCUUAAGGUGGGAUCCUUCUGACUCAGUUUCCUCAAUGUGUACCUUUGAAUAGGAACCCACCUAAUUAUUCCCUGUGUUUGGCUAUAAGGUGGAAUUGUUAUUACACGAUUGGUUGUCAUCUGUGACUAUUACCUAAAGGCAAACUGAGCUAAGGAUGCUUUAUUUUGUCAUGUAUAUGCCUUCAGAUGAAAGUCUGAAGAACCAGUUUUGAUAUUAUAAUCAUGCCCUUGCCUUUUUCUUCUUAUGUCAAGUUUCUUUAAUCAGAGCAAGUGGUCAAUAGAAGCCAUGAAUACAAUUCAAGUAUGUCAGAUCUUGCAGUUUUCAAUCUGAAAAUGUCAUUAUAUCCUAAAUAAGUAGAUAAAUGAAUAUUUGCCUGUCAUCUAUUUAUUGUUCAAUGCAUAUGUAUGUAUGAAAAGAUGUUAUUAUUAAAGGUUUCAAAAUAAUGCAAGAAUAACUUAUAAAACUAUCUGUG
Molecule: long non-coding RNA, 5214 nt
Organism: Sarcophilus harrisii (Tasmanian devil)
Lineage: Eukaryota; Metazoa; Chordata; Mammalia; Dasyuromorphia; Dasyuridae
Exons: 3
Source: RefSeq, a predicted model, not a curated record